This is a long non-coding RNA of Capsicum annuum, 243 nucleotides long. RefSeq lists it as uncharacterized. The transcript is spliced from 3 exons. Lineage: Eukaryota; Viridiplantae; Streptophyta; Magnoliopsida; Solanales; Solanaceae. The record is from RefSeq and is a predicted model, not a curated record.
CCUACCUCUCCCAGUUCCGAACUUUCCUUUUUCACUUCUUUCACAACCCUUUGCUAUUUCCAUUUUCUCUCUUUUCAAUGGAAAAAUUAAGUAUUUUUUCCUUUGGUUCAUAGAAAUUAAGAUCGGUGAAUUAACUAUUUGGAGUUGAAAUAGAGUGAGAGAAGAUAGGGUUUAAACAAGGACAGUUUUUCAUCGCGUCAGGAUCGCUAAUAGCUUCUUUGUAUAUGGAUUAGAGAUACUUGG